GGAUUAUGGCUCAGUGGUAGAGUGCUCCUCUAUCACAUGUGAGGCCCUGGGUUCAAUCCUCAGCACCA
Molecule: transfer RNA, 68 nt
Filed under: Marmota monax (woodchuck)
Lineage: Eukaryota; Metazoa; Chordata; Mammalia; Rodentia; Sciuridae
Description: tRNA.Asp
Source: RNAcentral